CUGAACACCCUUCCUUAGUUCAAUUCGGCAAAAGCCGAAAUGCCGAAAUUCUGGCAUUUCAUAGGCUUGUGAGUAUGCGAAUUCUCUCAGGACAUAGAGUAAUUGUUAGAUCUAUCACCGCAAAGUGGUAAGUAAGUUCGUGUGAUGUUUUAACGUACUUCAGAAAAAGAGGGCCUCGAUGGGCCAAAACUGGGCCCAAUGGGCUUACGGACCAAUAUGGGUAAGAGACGGGCAAAGUAGCAUGUUAGUUAGAUAGUGGGACCAAAUUGCAUAAAACGGCU
This 281-nucleotide long non-coding RNA is filed under the name Gossypium barbadense (sea-island cotton). Its description in RNAcentral is "long non-coding RNA (GBAR_LNC006333)". The record is from RNAcentral. Lineage: Eukaryota; Viridiplantae; Streptophyta; Magnoliopsida; Malvales; Malvaceae.